UACGUAGGGAGCAAGCGUUGUCCGGAAUCAUUGGGCGUAAAGCGCGCGUAGGCGGCCCUGUAAGUCCGUUGUGAAAGUCAAAGGCUCAACCUUUGAAAGCCGAUGGAUACUGCAGGGCUAGAGUCCGGAAGAGGAGAGUGGAAUUCCCGGUGUAGCGGUGAAAUGCGCAGAUAUCGGGAAGAACACCCGUGGCGAAGGCGGUUCUCUGGGACGGUACUGACGCUGAGACGCGAAAGCGUGGGGAGCGAACAGG
This 253-nucleotide ribosomal RNA is filed under the name uncultured bacterium. Its description in RNAcentral is "partial 16S ribosomal RNA". It matches the Rfam family "Bacterial small subunit ribosomal RNA", at positions 524 to 776 of the family's 1533-position model. The record is from RNAcentral.